RNAcentral lists this long non-coding RNA (741 nucleotides) under Mytilus galloprovincialis (Mediterranean mussel). The record is from RNAcentral. Lineage: Eukaryota; Metazoa; Mollusca; Bivalvia; Mytilida; Mytilidae.
GGGAUUUUUAUUUUCUAAAAUUUUCAAAUGAAUAUAACUUGAAAACUGUAAGUGAUAGAUACAUGCAGUCUUCAGAAAUGAUUAAAGGACAAUAAAACAAAUCACAUGAAAUAUAGGGGGAGUCCCUGGGGGGUCAUCCCCACCCCCUUCAAUUUGAGAAUAUGCUUUUAUCUUGUAAACGGUCCAGAUCCCCACCCCUAAACCAUAUAUAUUCUUGAAUGGGACAAUAAAACAAAUCAAAUAAAAUUAAAGGGAAGUCCCCGGGGGUCAUCCCCACCCCGUUCAAUUUGAGAAUGUGCUAUUAUCUUGUAAACGGUCCAGAUCCCCACCCCUAAACCAUAUAUAUUCUUGUAGGGGACAAUAAAACAAAUGAAAUGAAAUAAAAGUGAUGUCCCUAGGGGCUCACCCCACUCCCUCUUGUUUGAAAACUUGUAAACGGUCAACAUCCCCACCCCUAAACCAUAUCUAUUCUUGUAUGGGACAAUAAAACUAAUCAAAUGAAAUUAAAUGGAAGUUCCUGGGGUCACCCCCACCCCGUUCAAUUUGAGAAUGUACUAUUAUCUUGUAAACGGUUCAGAUCCCCACCCUUAAACCAUAUAUAUUCUUGAAUGGGACGAUAAAAGAAAUCAAAUGAAAUUAAUGGGAAGUCCCCGGGGGUCAUCCCCACCCCGUUCAAUUUGAGAAUGUGCUAUUAUCUUGUAAACGGUCCAGAUCCCCACCCCUAAACCAUAUAUAUUCUUG